RNAcentral lists this non-coding RNA (181 nucleotides) under Eubacterium sp. RNAcentral describes it as "6S RNA". It matches the Rfam family "6S / SsrS RNA". From Rfam's summary of the family: E. coli 6S RNA was the first non coding RNA to be sequenced, but its function was unknown until recently. It consists of 184 nucleotides that fold into an extended hairpin structure with a large single-stranded internal bulge. The 6S RNA specifically associates with RNA polymerase holoenzyme containing the sigma70 specificity factor. Lineage: Bacteria; Bacillati; Bacillota; Clostridia; Eubacteriales; Eubacteriaceae. The record is from RNAcentral.
GAAUUCCUGAGGUGUUCGAUACCCUGCUAUUUUGAACCUACAUUUUUUUGAAGGGUUUUCUACAUUGCCGAUUGGAUGUCAGGCCGCCAUAUUGCAGCGGAAGACAGAAAGAGAGGCUGCGGUUACCCACCUGGCUUUGGCUAGGACUCAAAAUUGCAGGAAACGGCAUUUUGGGUUUUUC